UUCCGGUUGAUCCCGCCGGAAGCCACUGCUAUUGGGAUCCGACUAAGCCAUGCGAGUCGAGAGGGUUCGGCCCUCGGCAGACUGCUCAGUAACACGUGGAUAAUCUACCCUUAGGUGGAGGAUACUCUCGGGAAACUGAGAAUAAUACUCCAUAGAUCCAGGAUGCUGGAAUGCACCUAGAUUGAAAGUUCCGGCGCCUAAGGAUGAGUCUGCGGACUAUCAGGUAGUAGUCAGGGUAAAGACCUGACUAGCCUACGACGGAUACGGGUUGUGAGAGCAAUAGCCCGGAGACGAUAUCUGAGACACGAUAUCGGGCCCUACGGGGCGCAGCAGGCGCGAAAUCUUCACAAUGUGCGAAAGCACGAUGAGGGGAUCCCAAGUGUUGGUUCGUAAGAAUCAUCUGUUUCUUUGUCUAAAAAACAGAGAGAGUAAGAGCUGGGUAAGACGGGUGCCAGCCGCCGCGGUAAUACCUGCAGCUCAAGUGGUGGCCGCUAUUAUUGGGCCUAAAACGUCCGUAGCCGGUUUAGUAAAUGCUUGGGUAAAUUGUGUAGCUCAACUAUACGAAUACCGAGUAGACUGCUGAACUUGGGACCGGGAGAGGCUAGAGGUACUCCUAGGGUAGAGGUGAAAUUCUGUAAUCCUAGGGGGACCACCAGUGGCGAAGGCGUCUAGCCAGAACGGGUCUGACGGUGAGGGACGAAGCCCUGGGGCGCAAACCGGAUUAGAUACCCGGGUAGUCCAGGGUGUAAGCGCUGCUCGCUUGAUGUUAGUUGGGCUCCGAGCCCAACUAGUGUCGGAGAGAAGUUGUUUAGCGAGCUGCCUGGGAAGUACGGUCGCAAGGCUGAAACUUAAAGGAUUUGGCGGGGAGCACAGCACGGGUGGAGCGUGGCGGUUAAAUGGAGUCACGCGGGA
This 912-nucleotide ribosomal RNA is filed under the name uncultured archaeon. RNAcentral describes it as "bacterial SSU rRNA". It matches the Rfam family "Archaeal small subunit ribosomal RNA", at positions 1 to 922 of the family's 1478-position model. The record is from RNAcentral.